UUAUCAUUUGAAUUCUGAUCACCAAUCGCUUCCAUAGGUAACAGGUAUAGCAGUGUUAACCACCCUCAGACAUGUAAGUAGUGUUUUGGGGGUCCUGAUCAGCUUUUUACGGACUCAGAGCAUUAUUGGACUCUGCAAACGGCUGACAUUGUUGUGGUUAGCCUCUCUCUAGGUUUUGUUACUUUGCAUUUGUUUUGUUGGUGUGAGAAGCUUGAACGGUGCUAAAGUUCGUGUUUAUGGCCGUGGUUCGAGAAGGUCUAAUGAAUGUAAAAUCUGCUUUGUUACAGUAUCUGAGCUUUAUAAGACUGCUAACUUCCUGGUUAACACAACUGUUGUUGUUCUCUUUCUACUCUCUUAUCCACCUCUGCGUAAAACUGCUUUGUUACGUGGUGAUUUUUUAUCGAUGUAGUAAGCCGGACCAUUGCUAAAGUAUUGGUAAUUGAUCUAAACAGCUUGGCCAGUGUUCAGGUGGUGUUGUUUAAUCAUAGCACUGACUGCAAAAGAAUGGGUUAACCCAUAUAUAUAUAGGCUAUUCAAUAACACGAGACACGUAAAGAUGUGUGCAGCAGGCACUUUGUUUUGAAAAAUAUGUGUGGUCUAAAUAUUUAGCUAUUAACAAGAAGACAGUGAAUUUGUGAUUCAUGUUACAUUGCCAUGCUAAAUUUGCUAUUUUUCUGUCUCUUUGUUGUAAGUACAUCACAGCAGAUUACACAGAACACAAGCUCCAGUAUCCUAAUGAGUGUACCAAGGUUCCAUGAUGAGGUUGGGUGGCAGACAGACUCCCCACAAGUCUCAGAGGCCACACAGACAUACCUACCUCCAAAGGGGUCACACACAGUUGGCCUGGGGUACACUAAGGGACAAGCAAAGGAUACGUCUAGGACUUGAUGGCACUGGUGUUGGAGGAGAUGUUUCAGGAACCAGAACCAUUCAUGGAGGAGCUGCAGAAAAUACCUGGCUCUCAAAAGAAGGAGGGGUGGCUCGACACGUGUCCAGGUGUAGUCAAGGGGCGGAAGCCAACAUACUGUCCAGUCGGGUCAGGAAACUCGGGGUGAAUCCUCAGGACGACACACGACAGGAUAACCACUCCAACCACUGCAAAGUGUCUGCACAGCCUGUAUGGAGACAAUAUAGUUGGAUGUAAAAAUUUUACUUCUCAUUGUAUAUUUACACGUAUAGUUCUACACAUUUAAAUGUUUUUUUAACCUUAGCUGAGAAUAAAGAACUUUCAACAAAU
Long non-coding RNA from Labrus mixtus (cuckoo wrasse), 1237 nucleotides. RefSeq lists it as uncharacterized. The transcript has 2 exons. The record is from RefSeq and is a predicted model, not a curated record. NCBI's taxonomy places the organism in Eukaryota, Metazoa, Chordata, Actinopteri, Labriformes, Labridae.